GACGAACGCUGGCGGCGUGCUUAACACAUGCAAGUCGAGCGGAAAGGCCCUGCUUUUGUGGGUUGCUCGAUUGGCGAACGCGUGAGUAACACGUGUGUAACCUGCCCUUGACAUUGGGAUAACUUCUGGAAACUGGGGCUAAUACCGCGUAUGAGCUCCUGCUGCACAGGGGGGGAUGGAGAGUUUCGGCGGUUGGGGAUGGAUGCGCGGCUUAUCAGCUUGUUGGGGGGGUAGUGGCUUACCAAGGCUUUGACGGGUAGCCGGCCUGGGAGGGUGGACGGCGACAUGGGGACUGAGAGACGGCCCAGACGGGUACGGUAGGCAGCAGGGGGGAAUAUUGCAGAAUGGGCGGAAGUGUGAGGCAGCAACCCCGCGUGCGGGAUGACGGCCUACGGGGUGUAAACAGCUGUCGCCGGAGCCGAAGAGGGAGUGACGGUAACGGGUAAAGAAGCACCGGCUAACUACGUG
RNAcentral lists this ribosomal RNA (468 nucleotides) under uncultured bacterium. RNAcentral's name for it is "partial 16S ribosomal RNA". It matches the Rfam family "Bacterial small subunit ribosomal RNA", at positions 28 to 507 of the family's 1533-position model. The record is from RNAcentral.